GAUGAACGCUGGCGGCGUGCGUAACACAUGCAAGUUGUACGACGGUGCCAUGAAGUGGGUAACACGGAAUGGUAUACGGAGUAGCGGACGGGUGAGUAAAGCAUGAGGAGCUGUCCUGUUGAGGGGGAUAACGUUCGGAAACGGACCCUAAUACCCCAUAGGCCGAGAGGUUAAAGGCAGAGAUGCGCGACAGGAGGUACUCGUGUCCUAUCAGCUGGUUGGUGAGGUAACGGCUCACCAAGGCAACGACGGGUAGCCGGCCUGAGAGGGUGACCGGCCACACUGGAACUGAGACACGGUCCAGACUCCUACGGGAGGCAGCAGUGGGGAAUAUUGGGCAAUGGGAGAAAUCCUGACCCAGCGACGCCGCGUGAACGAAGACGGCCUUCGGGUUGUAAAGUUCUUUUAUGUGGGAAGAAGGAAGUGACGGUACCACAUGAAUAAGCCCCGGCUAACUACGUGCCAGCAGCCGCGGUAAUACGUAGGGGGCGAGCGUUGUCCGGAAUUACUGGGCGUAAAGGGCACGCAGGCUGUGCUUCAAGUCAGCUGUAAAAGGAGUGCGGCUUAACCGUGUUAUGCAGUUGAGACUGAGGUGCUGGAGUACCGGAGAGGCAAGUGGAAUUCCCAGUGUAGCGGUGAAAUGCGUAGAUAUUGGGAAGAACAUCGGUGGCGGAGGCGACUUGCUGGACGGUAACUGACGCUGAGGUGCGAAAGCCAGGGUAGCGAACGGGAUUAGAUACCCCGGUAGUCCUGGCCGUAAACGAUGAAUGCUAGGUGUGCGAGCAGAGAUGUUGGUGUGCCGCAGUCAACGCGAUAAGCAUUCCGCCUGGGGAGUACGGUCGCAAGAUUGAAACUCAAAGGAAUUGACGGGGCCCGCACAAGCGGUGGAGCACGUGGUUUAAUUCG
Molecule: ribosomal RNA, 906 nt
Filed under: Synergistetes bacterium oral taxon 362
Lineage: Bacteria; Thermotogati; Synergistota
Description: bacterial SSU rRNA
Rfam family: Bacterial small subunit ribosomal RNA
Source: RNAcentral